GGAGGGUGCAAACGUUGUUCGGAAUCACUGGGCGUAAAGGGCGCGCAGGCGGACCUGUAAGUCAGGAGUGAAAACUCGGGGCUCAACUCCGAGCCUGCUUCUGAAACUGCAAGUCUUGAGGGCCGGAGGAGGAGAGUGGAAUUCCUAGUGUAGCGGUGGAAUGCGUAGAUAUUAGGAAGAACACCAGUGGCGAAGGCGACUCUCUGGACGGUUCCUGACGCUGAGGCGCGAAAGCUAGGGGAGCAAACAGGGAUUAGAUACCCGUGGUAGUCCUAGCCGUAAACGAUGAGUGCUAGGUGGUGGUGGUUUCAACGCCUUCACUGCCGGAGCUAACGCAUUAAGCACUCCGCCUGGGAGUACGGCCGCAAGGUUG
This 373-nucleotide ribosomal RNA is filed under the name uncultured organism. RNAcentral's name for it is "partial 16S ribosomal RNA". It matches the Rfam family "Bacterial small subunit ribosomal RNA", at positions 527 to 896 of the family's 1533-position model. The record is from RNAcentral.